GAUGAACGCUGGCGGCGUGCCUAAUACAUGCAAGUCGAGCGAACAGACGAGGAGCUUGCUCCUCUGACGUUAGCGGCGGACGGGUGAGUAACACGUGGAUAACCUACCUAUAAGACUGGGAUAACUUCGGGAAACCGGAGCUAAUACCGGAUAAUAUAUUGAACCGCAUGGUUCAAUAGUGAAAGACGGUUUUGCUGUCACUUAUAGAUGGAUCCGCGCCGCAUUAGCUAGUUGGUAAGGUAACGGCUUACCAAGGCGACGAUGCGUAGCCGACCUGAGAGGGUGAUCGGCCACACGAGAACUGAGACACGGUCCAGACUCCUACGGGAGGCAGCAGUAGGGAAUCUUCCGCAGUGGGCGAAAGCCUGACGGAGCAACGCCGCGUGAGUGAUGAAGGUCUUCGGAUCGUAAAACUCUGUUAUUAGGGAAGAACAAAUGUGUAAGUAACUAUGCACGUCUUGACGGUACCUAAUCAGAAAGCCACGGCUAACUACGUG
RNAcentral lists this ribosomal RNA (497 nucleotides) under uncultured bacterium. RNAcentral describes it as "partial 16S ribosomal RNA". It matches the Rfam family "Bacterial small subunit ribosomal RNA", at positions 28 to 507 of the family's 1533-position model. The record is from RNAcentral.